RNAcentral lists this unclassified non-coding RNA (308 nucleotides) under uncultured fungus. RNAcentral's name for it is "partial contains 5.8S ribosomal RNA, internal transcribed spacer 2, and large subunit ribosomal RNA". The stretch from base 1 to 52 matches the Rfam family "5.8S ribosomal RNA", at positions 103 to 154 of the family's 154-position model. The record is from RNAcentral. Lineage: Eukaryota; Fungi.
AACGCACCUUGCGCUCCUUGGUAUUCCGAGGAGCAUGCCUGUUUGAGUGUCUUGAAAUCAUCAGCCCCUCCCGUUGCCCGUGCUUCGGGAGAAGGUUGGACGUGGGGGUCCGUGCCGCCGCGAGGCGGCUCCCCUCAAAUUCGUCGGCUGGGCCUGUGGGUCGAACUCGGUCGGGCGUUGUACCAUCCUCGCUCUGUCUCCGAGGCGCUUCACCUCUGCGUGCCCUCCCUUGACCUGCCUCUGGAGUGGCGGUCAAAUGACUUUUGAAAUCUGACCUCAAAUCAGGUAGGACUACCCGCUGAACUUAA